GGGGCUGUUUGGUAUCGACGGGAAAGAAAGUUGUUUCGUAAGCAUGCCGGGGCAUGAGCGGUUACCCCGUAAAAAACAACGUUCGACAAUUGAAUGGCAACUAUCAGUAUGCCAUGGCUGCCUAAUUCUAGCGAGUUAGAACGCCAUUGUGCCGCGUGAGGGCCACGCUCAGCGUCCCCCUCUUAGCCUUGAUGCCUGCUACACAGGCCGCCGCACAUCAUCAAAAAAGCAGGAUUGCCCGAGGGAGUGUCUCGACCCAAAGGUGAAAUCAAGGGGCUAAGGCGCGAACCGGUACGUCUCCGAACCUGACCCGUGCCCGACAAUCUAAUCGGAAACUAAGCAUGUAGAAAGCGUUGCGGCGCUUUGUCCGGACGCGGGUUCGACUCCCGCCAGCUCCAC
RNAcentral lists this transfer-messenger RNA (399 nucleotides) under Saprospiraceae bacterium. It matches the Rfam family "transfer-messenger RNA". Rfam says of the family: Bacterial tmRNA, also known as 10Sa RNA or SsrA, is named for its dual tRNA and mRNA-like properties. Lineage: Bacteria; Pseudomonadati; Bacteroidota; Saprospiria; Saprospirales; Saprospiraceae. The record is from RNAcentral.